Molecule: ribosomal RNA, 446 nt
Filed under: bacterium AER22D
Lineage: Bacteria
Description: bacterial SSU rRNA
Rfam family: Bacterial small subunit ribosomal RNA
Source: RNAcentral
GGGAGCUUGCUCCUGCUGGAUCAGUGGCGAACGGGUGAGUAACACGUGAGUAACCUGCCCUUGACUCUGGGAUAAGCGUUGGAAACGACGUCUAAUACCGGAUACGAGCUUCAGCCGCAUGGCUAGGAGUUGGAAAGAAUUUCGGUCAAGGAUGGACUCGCGGCCUAUCAGCUUGUUGGUGAGGUAAUGGCUCACCAAGGCGACGACGGGUAGCCGGCCUGAGAGGGUGACCGGCCACACUGGGACUGAGACACGGCCCAGACUCCUACGGGAGGCAGCAGUGGGGAAUAUUGCACAAUGGGCGCAAGCCUGAUGCAGCAACGCCGCGUGAGGGACGACGGCCUUCGGGUUGUAAACCUCUUUUAGCAGGGAAGAAGCGAAAGUGACGGUACCUGCAGAAAAAGCACCGGCUAACUACGUGCCAGCAGCCGCGGUAAUACGGAGGG